Molecule: ribosomal RNA, 1533 nt
Filed under: Escherichia coli
Lineage: Bacteria; Pseudomonadati; Pseudomonadota; Gammaproteobacteria; Enterobacterales; Enterobacteriaceae
Description: bacterial SSU rRNA
Rfam family: Bacterial small subunit ribosomal RNA
Source: RNAcentral
UUGAAGAGUUUGAUCAUGGCUCAGAUUGAACGCUGGCGGCAGGCCUAACACAUGCAAGUCGAACGGUAACAGGAAACAGCUUGCUGUUUCGCUGACGAGUGGCGGACGGGUGAGUAAUGUCUGGGAAACUGCCUGAUGGAGGGGGAUAACUACUGGAAACGGUAGCUAAUACCGCAUAACGUCGCAAGACCAAAGAGGGGGACCUUCGGGCCUCUUGCCAUCGGAUGUGCCCAGAUGGGAUUAGCUAGUAAGGUGGGGUAACGGCUCACCUAGGCGACGAUCCCUAGCUGGUCUGAGAGGAUGACCAGCCACACUGGAACUGAGACACGGUCCAGACUCCUACGGGAGGCAGCAGUGGGGAAUAUUGCACAAUGGGCGCAAGCCUGAUGCAGCCAUGCCGCGUGUAUGAAGAAGGCCUUCGGGUUGUAAAGUACUUUCAGCGGGGAGGAAGGGAGUAAAGUUAAUACCUUUGCUCAUUGACGUUACCCGCAGAAGAAGCUAACUCCGUGCCAGCAGCCGCGGUAAUACGGAGGGUGCAAGCGUUAAUCGGAAUUACUGGGCGUAAAGCGCACGCAGGCGGUUUGUUAAGUCAGAUGUGAAAUCCCCGGGCUCAACCUGGGAACUGCAUCUGAUACUGGCAAGCUUGAGUCUCGUAGAGGGGGGUAGAAUUCCAGGUGUAGCGGUGAAAUGCGUAGAGAUCUGGAGGAAUACCGGUGGCGAAGGCGGCCCCCUGGACGAAGACUGACGCUCAGGUGCGAAAGCGUGGGGAGCAAACAGGAUUAGAUACCCUGGUAGUCCACGCCGUAAACGAUGUCGACUUGGAGGUUGUGCCCUUGAGGCGUGGCUUCCGGAGCUAACGCGUUAAGUCGACCGCCUGGGGAGUACGGCCGCAAGGUUAAAACUCAAAUGAAUUGACGGGGGCCCGCACAAGCGGUGGAGCAUGUGGUUUAAUUCGAUGCAACGCGAAGAACCUUACCUGGUCUUGACAUCCACGGAAGUUUUCAGAGAUGAGAAUGUGCCUUCGGGAACCGUGAGACAGGUGCUGCAUGGCUGUCGUCAGCUCGUGUUGUGAAAUGUUGGGUUAAGUCCCGCAACGAGCGCAACCCUUAUCCUUUGUUGCCAGCGGUCCGGCCGGGAACUCAAAGGAGACUGCCAGUGAUAAACUGGAGGAAGGUGGGGAUGACGUCAAGUCAUCAUGGCCCUUACGACCAGGGCUACACACGUGCUACAAUGGCGCAUACAAAGAGAAGCGACCUCGCGAGAGCAAGCGGACCUCAUAAAGUGCGUCGUAGUCCGGAUUGGAGUCUGCAACUCGACUCCAUGAAGUCGGAAUCGCUAGUAAUCGUGGAUCAGAAUGCCACGGUGAAUACGUUCCCGGGCCUUGUACACACCGCCCGUCACACCAUGGGAGUGGGUUGCAAAAGAAGUAGGUAGCUUAACCUUCGGGAGGGCGCUUACCACUUUGUGAUUCAUGACUGGGGUGAAGUCGUAACAAGGUAACCGUAGGGGAACCUGCGGUUGGAUCACCUCCUU